Molecule: non-coding RNA, 78 nt
Organism: Schistosoma mansoni
Lineage: Eukaryota; Metazoa; Platyhelminthes; Trematoda; Strigeidida; Schistosomatidae
Source: Rfam
AGCCUUUUGAAUCCGUGCCGAGAUUUCUUUAGACACCAAACCAUCGGUAGUGAUGAUACUACCAAGAUAAGUGGAGCG